GGGGGCGUAGCUCAGAUGGUAGAUCGCUCGCUUAGCAUACGAGAGGUCCGGGUCGAUACCCCGUGCCUCCA
Non-coding RNA from Trichonephila inaurata madagascariensis, 71 nucleotides. The record is from the annotation of a GenBank genome assembly. NCBI's taxonomy places the organism in Eukaryota, Metazoa, Arthropoda, Arachnida, Araneae, Nephilidae.